UCCGAAUUGGUGUAAUGGUUAACAUUUGACGCUCUCACUGGCUCCUCUUCCCCGAGGAUACCCACUGUUCCGUCAAGCUCGGGGUUCGAUUCCCCGAUUCGGAG
This is a non-coding RNA of Microdochium nivale, 104 nucleotides long. Lineage: Eukaryota; Fungi; Ascomycota; Sordariomycetes; Xylariales; Microdochiaceae. The record is from the annotation of a GenBank genome assembly.